UACAGAGGUGGCAAGCGUUGUUCGGAAUUACUGGGCGUAAAGCGCGCGUAGGCGGCUUUGUAAGUCAGAGGUGAAAGCCCGGAGCUCAACUUCGGAAUAGCCUUUGAGACUGCAUCGCUUGAAUCCGGGAGAGGUGAGUGGAAUUCCGAGUGUAGAGGUGAAAUUCGUAGAUAUUCGGAAGAACACCAGUGGCGAAGGCGGCUCACUGGACCGGUAUUGACGCUGAGGUGCGAAAGCGUGGGGAGCAAACAGG
Molecule: ribosomal RNA, 253 nt
Filed under: uncultured bacterium
Lineage: Bacteria
Description: partial 16S ribosomal RNA
Rfam family: Bacterial small subunit ribosomal RNA
Source: RNAcentral